CGCGCCGCGCCUGCGCGCUGGGAGCGAGGAAUUCCCGCCCUGCAGGCGAGCUGCGCGGACACCUAAAGGUGCUCUGGCGCUUCGAGAGUGGCAUUGCUGUUGGCUGUGUGGUGGAACUGCCUGAGGGUAAAGCGUGAACCAGAUCCCUCUUGGCAAGCAAGAUUGAGCCCUCAGAGGCAUCCUCAUUUCUACCUCCAGUUGGGUGUAUUUUUUUUGGAGAUGACUGUGAAGGAGCACGUCUGUGCCAGUGCACUGCUUGCUGAGCAAGUGUGGUGGUUUAAUUUUGCGUCCUGUGCAGAAGAGGCUGAUCAAGGCAGCAGCACGAUGUGGACUCCCUGCCUCCAGUUGCAGUGAUUCCAGGGGCAGCUCUCCAGAGCAGGCUGCCCUUUGUAGUAGAGUGGUGCAGAGCAACGUACCUUGUCCUGCUGUCCUGCUCUGCUGGGCUUCCUCUCUCUCCUGCUUGUGCCAACCCAAGGGCUCUGAGGAACUGCUGCUCGAAAUGGCGUCUGUUGCACUGAAGACGAUGUGGUCUCUCAAUUCCCUUGCAGCCCACAAAGCUGCAUGGUGUCUGAGCCUUGAAGAGAACAGCUUUUCUUCUGAGUGGAGGCCUUUUCAGGGGUCAUCUCUCUUUUUUUCAGAGUUUCUUCUGUGUACAUGACUCCGUGAGACUUAGUGACUGAUUCUGAAAUACCGAGCGAGGAGAGGGAACAGCACGCACCUCUGCUGCAAUGCCCAGGGGAUGCACCCACAUGCACUGCUGGUUGUUCUGGCCUUCCUUUGCUUGAUCUUGGACCUCUAGAAAGAACAAAAGCCUCGUCAAGUGAGUGGAAAAGGAACGCAUGUAACAUUUUUUUUUUUCUCAAAGAGAAAAGCCAGGGAAAAAAUUGACACAAGCUUUUGAGAAAGCUUGUUUAGUGCUCAGUGUGCUUCCCCCAGGUGAUCUUCCUUUCAUGAGAGGGAUGGGAUAAACAGUACAGCAAGUUGAGCUGCUAUGUGAAGCACCUAAACCUGGCUGCAGCUAUGGAAAUCCCCAUGUGUGAAACAGACAAGGCUCAGAGAACUUCUUGGAGGUGCUGCUGCACAGAGGUGUACAGGUACAGCAUUCUGGAUCAUCGCAUCAUCCAUAGUCCUCUACUACCACGGGCAGAGGUGAGUACUGCCACUUAACAGAGAAGAGAACUAUUUGGUAAUAAAAGUAUCACUCAGAGAUCACAUUCUCUCUCUGAUUCAUCUUAAAGUGAACUCAGGGGUA
Non-coding RNA from Meleagris gallopavo (turkey), 1252 nucleotides. The record is from RefSeq and is a predicted model, not a curated record. NCBI's taxonomy places the organism in Eukaryota, Metazoa, Chordata, Aves, Galliformes, Phasianidae.